Molecule: long non-coding RNA, 978 nt
Organism: Acanthochromis polyacanthus (spiny chromis)
Lineage: Eukaryota; Metazoa; Chordata; Actinopteri; Pomacentridae
Exons: 2
Source: RefSeq, a predicted model, not a curated record
UUAACAAACCAAAAAAGUGUAAAAAACCAUACAGUACUUGGUUGAUACAUAAUGUUUUAACAACAAAAAUACAGCACCCCCCUCCCCCCAUCUUGCCUCAAAAUGGUUUGAUCCUGCUCAACUUUCCCAACUCGGGCUCUGAGCCGCUACCUGCAGAGCUAAGCGCUGCCCCACAGAAGGUAAUGUGCCAUGGUGGUGUGAGUACCUGGUUUGAACUUCUACCACUCUAUACCAACACAUUAUUAUCAUUAUCAGUCCUCAUUUUUGCUGCAUUUAAUCAAAGGUUACUGUUUAUGUUGUUAGGUAGGAGUUAGCUUAUGUUUUUUCUAGCUAGCAAACGUUACAGGUGGUCAGUGUCUGUUUGAAUUGGACUGAGAGAAGCUAGCUGUUGUGUCAGUGCAUGAAUUAAUAUUAAAGCCAAGGUGCUACUGACUAGCUAACUGACCGGAUGCCCAUUAACAUUAUAACUCCUACUGUGUGUGUGUGCAGACAGACAGCCUCAUCAUGGACAUAAGAUUGUUUUUUCGAAGAAAAGAGCCAGGUUCAGCUGAAUACAAUCUAUUUGUGUAUGAUUGCCAGUCCAAAGAGGAAGAGAUGAAAAAGGGGAAGGAGAGGAGAGAGGGCAAAGUCAGGAAGAACCAGGUAAGAAAACAAACAGAGAAUAGUGGCAAGCAAAACAGUAACUGUUAAGAUGACAAAGAAAAACAUCCUUUCACAAUAUAAUUUUACAUAUAUGUCAUGGAGGUUAUGUGUUCUCCCCACAUUAAAUACUUUCCAGAAGCACACUUAACAGAUAUCAGUGGACUUCAUUCUAAACAGAACAUCUUCAUUUCAUUUUCCUAAUUAUCUAUUUGUUUUUCUAUUUGUUUAAUUUCACUAUAAAAGGAAGAGAACAAGGAGAGACUCUGAGAGAUGAGAGCGUGCAGACCAGGGAAAGAAAUGCUUUGCAUCACAUUUCAAAUAAAAGUCAAAAAAUAA